Cinara cedri is the source of this 435-nucleotide non-coding RNA. NCBI's taxonomy places the organism in Eukaryota, Metazoa, Arthropoda, Insecta, Hemiptera, Aphididae. The record is from the annotation of a GenBank genome assembly.
CAUGUAUGUAAUUAUUUUACCACAAUACGAAAUAUAAAUUGUUGGUAAAGCAAUACUAUCAACCGAAAUCUGCUCAGAAUCAUUUUUGCGUUAGAAAUAGUUAAUCAUUACUUACAGAUAUACAUUAAAUUCUCGUCUGUAUCCUAUAUUCCCAAAUUCGCAUGUACAACAGUGGGUGCAUCCGUUUAAAUUAUUCUAGGACAGCUUUUUACUUUGGAAACUCAUAGAAAGUACGUGAUACUGUACAUAUUUAUAUGUAUUAAUAUAGUUGAAGAAAAUCUAAAUUUUAAGAAAAAAAGUUGUCUAACCGUAAUAGUUAUACGAUUUUUAUAGAUUUAUUACUCUGAUAAUUGUAUAACUACGUUAUUUUAAACCUUUCUAGGUUGUAAAAUAAACAUUUUAACCGACAUUUUCACAUUUAUUUCCCUGGUGUUU